Molecule: small nucleolar RNA, 143 nt
Organism: Vicia villosa (hairy vetch)
Lineage: Eukaryota; Viridiplantae; Streptophyta; Magnoliopsida; Fabales; Fabaceae
Product: small nucleolar RNA snoR135
Exons: 1
Source: RefSeq, a predicted model, not a curated record
UAAGUAGUGACAAUGUGUAUCGGUGUUAUUUUGUGUUUAUUACAUUCUUCCGAAAGUAUUUUCUGUUAAAUUAAGAUGAUAAAAUGGGUAAUUGUGUUUCAUUUUUUAUGUUGAGAAUUACAACAAUCUGUUUUCCUACAUUU